UGGAAACUGACUUCCUUGACCUUGGUUUCCCAGUCUCUGGGUCCUGACAGCUACAACAGAUGAGAAAACUGAUAAGCAAAGCAAGAUGUGACUUGCUCAAGAUUCAGCAGUUGACUGGUGACCAAGUUGAAUGGACGACUUGAAGGGCUCUUUUGGACACACCACCAUCAUGUCAUCUACGGUCCAUGCCAGCUGACUGUCAUGUAGCAAAGAGUAUUUUGAUGCAGAAAGAAAUAGGCAAGAUAAAGGAGUUAAUUUCUGGAUUCAGGAUUAAUGAAGAGGAUCAGAAUCAGGUCCUUCUGAGAGUAAUUGAGCUGAAGGCACUUUGGGCUGAGGAGGUAAAUGAAAAAGCAGAGGAGGGAAACGGAGUAGUCUACAACAGAAGAGGACAGAGAGUGUGAAGGCAAGG
Molecule: long non-coding RNA, 409 nt
Organism: Heterocephalus glaber (naked mole-rat)
Lineage: Eukaryota; Metazoa; Chordata; Mammalia; Rodentia; Bathyergidae
Source: Ensembl